GAUCUGGCUUAGGAUGAACGCUAGCGACAGGCUUAACACAUGCAAGUCGAGGGGCAGCAUAAAAGUAGCAAUACUUGGUGGCGACCGGCGCACGGGUGAGUAACGCGUAUGCAACCUACCUAUCAGAGGGGAAUAACCCGGCGAAAGUCGGACUAAUACCGCAUAAAACAGGGGCACCGCAUGGUGAUAUUUGUUAAAGAAAUUCGCUGAUAGAUGGGCAUGCGUUCCAUUAGGUAGUUGGUGAGGUAACGGCUCACCAAGCCGACGAUGGAUAGGGGAACUGAGAGGUUGGUCCCCCACACUGGUACUGAGACACGGACCAGACUCCUACGGGAGGCAGCAGUGAGGAAUAUUGGUCAAUGGGCGGGAGCCUGAACCAGCCAAGUCGCGUGAAGGAAAGAAGGAUCUAUGGUUCGUAAACUUCUUUUGCAGGGGAAUAAAGUGCAGGACGUGUCCUGUUUUGUAUGUACCCUGAGAAUAAGGAUCGGCUAACUCCGUGCCAGCAGCUGC
RNAcentral lists this ribosomal RNA (510 nucleotides) under uncultured bacterium. RNAcentral describes it as "bacterial SSU rRNA". It matches the Rfam family "Bacterial small subunit ribosomal RNA", at positions 15 to 518 of the family's 1533-position model. The record is from RNAcentral.